RNAcentral lists this ribosomal RNA (254 nucleotides) under uncultured bacterium. RNAcentral describes it as "partial 16S ribosomal RNA". It matches the Rfam family "Bacterial small subunit ribosomal RNA", at positions 524 to 776 of the family's 1533-position model. The record is from RNAcentral.
UACGUAGGGUGCGAGCGUUGUCCGGAAUUAUUGGGCGUAAAGAGCUUGUAGGCGGUUUGUCGCGUCUGCUGUGAAAAUCCGGGGCUCAACCCCGGACUUGCAGUGGGUACGGGCAGACUAGAGUGAGGAAGAGGAAAGUGGAAUUCCGCGUGUAGUGGUGAAAUGCGUAGAGAUGCGGAGGAACACCCAGUGGCGAAAGCGACUUUCUGGUCCUUAACUGACGCUGAGGCGCGAAAGCAUGGGGAGCGAACGGG